RNAcentral lists this RNase P RNA (360 nucleotides) under Betaproteobacteria bacterium. Its description in RNAcentral is "RNase P RNA component class A". It matches the Rfam family "Bacterial RNase P class A". Rfam says of the family: Ribonuclease P (RNase P) is a ubiquitous endoribonuclease, found in archaea, bacteria and eukarya as well as chloroplasts and mitochondria. Lineage: Bacteria; Pseudomonadati; Pseudomonadota; Betaproteobacteria. The record is from RNAcentral.
GAAGUCAGCCAGACCGUCGCUGCUCCUGACGUGCAAACCGAGGGGGGAGAGGAAAGUCCGGGCUCCACAGAGCAGGAUGCCGGGUAACUCCCGGACGCUAUAAGUCGCCGCUCGCGCGGCGCGCGAAGGCGAGGAACAGGGCCACAGAGACGAGUCGCUUCCGGUCAAACUGAAGCGGGUGAAACGCGGCAACCUCCAUCCGGAGCAACACCAAGUAGGCGGACAUCGACGCUGCUCGCGUAACGUCCGCGGGUAGGUGGCUCGAGUGCGUCGGCAACGGCGCGCCUAGAGGCAUGACGGUCAUAGCGAACCUCAUGGGGUUCGCCGUAACAGAACCCGGCUUAUAGGUUGGCUUCGAAU